This 2946-nucleotide long non-coding RNA is filed under the name Lupinus angustifolius (narrow-leaved blue lupine). RNAcentral describes it as "long non-coding RNA (LANG_LNC000454)". Lineage: Eukaryota; Viridiplantae; Streptophyta; Magnoliopsida; Fabales; Fabaceae. The record is from RNAcentral.
UUUGUAACUGUUGGAUUGAAAGUUAAGUUUCUUAAAUAACUAGUCGUCCUAGUUGCUUGUUUUUCAACCAAUUCUUCUCACUUGUAUAAUUUGUCUCCUCUUGCAUUCUAAUUCAAUAAGAAUGAUGAGAAUCUUGUUUAAAGUUUACAACAUGGUAUCAGAGCUCUCAAUCUGAGAGCUCUGCUACACAAAUUCCUCCUACCUUAUUCUCUACAAAAUCACAUUUCAGAGGCACACGUUUUUCUUUCAAUCAUCCAUUGACCUGCAACACUUAGUCUCUGCCAUAAUUAUGCAUUUCUUGGUCAUGAAUUCCAAUCACGCUUUUCAUCCUUUGAGGUUUGUUCUCUUUCUUAUAUAUUCCUUUCACUAAAAUCAUUAAAAUGGCGUAUAUUGACUUUGAUGAAUCACAAGCUAAUCCAUAUCUCUUUUCACUUAGAAUUUAUCCAAAAAAGUCCUUCUAGUCCUUCUUACCUUCUAAGGAAAACCUAGGAGCAAUUCUUGUUUUAUCAUCAAUGGAGGGUGAAAACUAUCAUUCAUGGAGAACAUCCAUGAAAAUGGUAUUAUUUUCUCAAAAUAAAUACAAGUUUGUUGACGGAUCAAUAACAAGGUCUACCAUCAAUGAUCUAAAUCUUGAUGUAUUGUAGAGAUGCAACACUAUGAUUGUUUCUUAGAUUACCAGAUCCAUCUUUUAUCAAAGUGUACAAAGUAAAUGUACAUAUGGAGUCCUUGAGGCCAACACCUUCUUGUGUAUAUGAAGUGCAAUGUAAGUUUAACCUUGUCAAGAACAUCAAAGCUCAUGGAAAAUUAGAAUAUGUGAUUUGUGUAACACCGCGAAUUUUACGAUUUUGAAUUAUAAGAUUUUAUUAAUAUUUUUAUUAAUUAUAUAUUCGAAAAUGAAUUUCUGGGAAUUUUACAUCGUGACAUAGUGGUGUCCGAAUAUGACACCCGGAUCUCCUAAACCAUCUCAAAGGUUUUGGAGUUAACUUGGGUUUUAGGAAACCCAAUAUUUUUAUGUUUGGAUGCUUUUGAAUAUAUAUGAUUGUUAAGGAAAUGUAUUGAAUAUUGUAUAUGUGAGAGAGAACACAUCGUGACAUAGUGGUGUCCGAAUAUGACACCCGGAUCUCCUAAACCAUCUCAAAGGUUUUGGAGUUAACUUGGGUUUUAAGAAACCCAAUAUUUUUAUGUUUAGAUGUUUGUGAAGAUAUAUGUUUGUGAAGAUAUAUGUUUGUUGAGGAAAUGUAUUGAAUAUUGUAUGUGAGAGAGAACACAUCGUGACAUAGUGGUGUCCGAAUAUGACACCCGGAUCUUCAAAACCAUCUCAAAGGUUUUGAGGGUUAACUUGGGUUUUAAGAAACCCAAUAUUUUUAUGUUUGGAUGAUUUUGAAUAUAUGUGAUUGUUGAGGAUAUAUAGUGAAUAUUGUAUGUGAGAGAGAACAUAUCUUGACAUAGUGGUGUCCGAAUAUGACACCCGGAUCUCCUAAACCAUCUCAAAGGUUUUGGAGUUAACUUGGGUUUUAAGAAACCCAAUAUUUUUAUGUUUGGAUGCUUUUGAAUAUAUAUGAUUUUUGAUGAAAUAUGUUGAAUAUUGUAUAUGAAUGUUGUUUGGAACUUUUCUGGGUGCAGGUGUUUGAAAAACCAUGUUUAAAUGUGUUUUGUUUGUCGAAAAUGGUAAAAGUUGGUAUUUUGUCCAAGUCCCUGUCGCCUGGGCGAGGGGAAGUUUUGGGUUCUGGAACUCCUCGCCCGGGUGACAAAUCCUCGCUUGGGCGAGCAAGGGUCCCCCGCUUAGGCAAAAAAGGCCCAGGAUUUCGAUGAAAUUCGGGAACUUUCUCGCCCGGGCGAGCAAAAGCCCGCUGGGGCAAAAAAAAAUUAAUGAUGUCUUUCUUGAGCGAGAAGGGGCCUCGCUUGGGCGAGGAAGGCUUAAGUGUAAUUGAAAUUUAAAGAUGAAUGGUCGCUUGGGCGAGAGGGCCUCGCUUGAGCGAGAGAUGCCCAGUUUUAAAAUGGUAUUGUUGAUUGAAUUUUCGCUUGAGCGAAGGGUCCACGCUUGGGAGAGAGACAGUGAUUGUGUUUGACUAUUUGGAUUGAGUGGUUGAGUAUGUAAUAACCCUAGUAUGGGUAUGUGAUAUAAAANNNNNNNNNNNNNNNNNNNNNNNNNNNNNNNNNNNNNNNNNNNNNNNNNNNNNNNNNNNNNNNNNNNNNNNNNNNNNNNNNNNNNNNNNNNNNNNNNNNNAAAGUGUCUUGGUAUGGGACCUGUACUCUUGAUUUUUUUCCGACUAGGUUAUUGGGAGGAUAUUGGUGUGAGGUGGAUGAUCAAGACAUAGCAUGCAUAUAUUACACUUGUGGAAGUGGAUUCUCACAUUUGAGUUACAAACAUCAUGCACAUAUUAUUACUUAUGGUUAUGAUGUAUUUUUAUGAAAUGUAUGUUGAUACAUUAUGGUUUAUGUUGAUAAACGGUGAGUUAUGAUGUCGGUUAUAGAAAUAUAUGUGUAUGUGAUUAUUUGGGGUUAUGAUUCCCACUUAUGUGUUAUUUAAUUAUAGUCAUGAUAUCUUGUCGAUGAAUGAUAUAUUGAUAAAUGGUGAAUUAUGAUAUUGAUGGGAAUAUACAUAGGUGGAGUAGAUAAUUGUUUAUGAGAACAAUUAAUGAGUUUGGUUAAAUUACUCAUAUUGAGUAGAUAAUUGUUUAUGAGAACAAUUAAUGAGUUUGGUUAUAUUACUCAUGUGGAUUGGAUAAUUGUUUACGAGAACAACUGGUGAGUUAUAAUGUGAUAUGAUAUACAUAUAUGAACUGUUUUUCAUAUAUGAGUGUAAUAUUCUGAGUAUGUCCACGCCGUCAAUGAAUUUAUGUUCAUUAGAUGUCUUACUCUCUCUAUUUCUCUUCUUUUCUAUUGCUUGCUUUUCGGACGUGUGCUCGUCAGGUAGACAACUUCGCUCGGAUUUAGAGCUACCCG